UGGCAACGGUAGCCAUUUUGAAAGUUUUUAAGAUGGAUUUCACGCUUUCGAAUGAUGAGUUAUAAUGUCUGAAAGUUUCAUUUAAUUUGGACCAUUUUUCGGUUUUUCACAUUUUUGCCGUUUCCAUGGUAACGGCGGCCAUCUUGAAAAUUCCAGACCCUAACUGCACAUCUGCACAUGGGGAUUGUCAUUAUGGUACAGUUUUAUCAAUGUAUGUCAAGUCAUCUCCGAGAACUCGACUGGACAAAAAGUGUGGUAGAAAAAUUUGGAACAAUAACAAUAUAUCACCCCUAUUUCCAUAGGGGUGACAUAAUAUGAAAAAAAAAAGAAACGUAGAAUAACAAUAUGUCACCCUAACUCCGUUGAGGGUGCAAUAAUUAAAGUUUAAGCUGUUCGCGAGAACAGUCAAUUAGAUGCAUAAAUUCAUCAGGACAACUAAUCAACC
RNAcentral lists this long non-coding RNA (445 nucleotides) under Mytilus galloprovincialis (Mediterranean mussel). The record is from RNAcentral. Lineage: Eukaryota; Metazoa; Mollusca; Bivalvia; Mytilida; Mytilidae.